RNAcentral lists this ribosomal RNA (253 nucleotides) under uncultured bacterium. RNAcentral's name for it is "partial 16S ribosomal RNA". It matches the Rfam family "Bacterial small subunit ribosomal RNA", at positions 524 to 776 of the family's 1533-position model. The record is from RNAcentral.
UACAGAGGUCUCAAGCGUUGUUCGGAUUCAUUGGGCGUAAAGGGUGCGUAGGUGGCGCUGUAAGUCGGGUGUGAAAUUUCGGAGCUUAACUCCGAAACUGCAUUCGAUACUGCGGUGCUUGAGGACUGGAGAGGAGACUGGAAUUCAUGGUGUAGCAGUGAAAUGCGUAGAGAUCAGGAGGAACACCGGUGGCGAAGGCGGCGACCUGGACCGGUACUGACGCUGAGACGCGAAAGCGUGGGGAGCAAACAGG